This 301-nucleotide ribosomal RNA is filed under the name uncultured bacterium. RNAcentral describes it as "partial 16S ribosomal RNA". It matches the Rfam family "Bacterial small subunit ribosomal RNA", at positions 509 to 807 of the family's 1533-position model. The record is from RNAcentral.
CAGCCGCCGCGGGAAUACGGAGGGAGCUAGCGUUGUUCGGAAUUACUGGGCGUAAAGCGCACGUAGGCGGCUUUGUAAGUUAGAGGUGAAAGCCUGGAGCUCAACUCCAGAAUUGCCUUUAAGACUGCAUCGCUUGAAUCCAGGAGAGGUGAGUGGAAUUCCGAGUGUAGAGGUGAAAUUCGUAGAUAUUCGGAAGGACACCAGUGGCGAAGGCGGCUCACUGGACUGGUAUUGACGCUGAGGUGCGAAAGCGUGGGGAGCAAACAGGAUUAGAUACCCGAGUAGUCCCUGUCUCUUAUAC